RNAcentral lists this long non-coding RNA (1053 nucleotides) under Androctonus crassicauda. Lineage: Eukaryota; Metazoa; Arthropoda; Arachnida; Scorpiones; Buthidae. The record is from RNAcentral.
CAAUUAGAUAUAAAAUGGAUGCUGCAAUUACUACUAGAAUAUCAAGCUAUUGCACAUCCACUAAAUAUGAAUGUGAAUUGCAUUGACCAUUUACAGAGCUUACUGAUUACAUCAUUAUUGUAAAUCAGUGGCAUUAUAAAUCAAGAAUUGUCUGUAACUUCAAACUAAUACUUUUCAUCGUGAUUCGAACUGUUCAUUGAUAAGAUUGAAAUGUUUGCAAAACAAGACAAAACUGAUACUGAUCGAAAAGAAGAUAAAUCACGAAAACUUCCCCAAGGAACCAGAGGUCAAAUAUCAACCACAGAUGAGAUACGGAAAAUCAAAGUUUCAGUAGGCUUUCUUUUUGCCUCUUGUAACAUGGCACAUUGCUGCACAAGCUUCACCAUUACCAAUAUGAAAGCCGAUACUUGUUAGAGAAUUAAAGAUUCAUUCCAAAAAAAUGUACACAUUAUAAAAGAUUAGUUCCUCAUCAAUGGAAUCGCUCUGUAUCUCGUUCACGGUUAAUCUUUGACUCCUGGUUCCUUAGGGAAGUCUUUGUGGUUUGGCAUCCCGUUUCGAUUGAUACUAGUUUUGUCUUGUUUUGCAAACAUUGUAAUCUUACCCUGUUCAUCCUUAUUUAUCAAACUAAAGGUUCAAGUCAAUUUUAUCACAGUGAGACUCAAAGCACCAACCUUUCUGGAAUUCUGGAAAAUCUCGAUAUAAAUAAACAUAUUAUUCAUUUUUUAUGAUAGCGUUUGUCUGUUGGAUGGAUAUAAAGUAAACAGUUACAUGCCAUCUUGAAUAUUUUUAUUCCACAUCAACAUUAGCGAGUCUAGAUCGGCUUAUAUAUGGGCCAGUUAAAAAAAUUUUUCGUGAACUCGUAAGAUUCGCCGCUUCAGUCGCAGCGCGUUGAUGACACUCCUUCGCCCCAGUCUCGCGAACUACCAUAUUUAUUCCUAAUAAGAUUAUCUUCUUACCAAAAUGAUAUUCAAAAUUAUAAGAUGGAUUUGUUUGGCUGUCCAUAAAUUAAUAUUUUCACGUGUAUUUAAAUAUUGGAUAUUAUAAAAUAUGAUC